CGAACGCUGGCGGCGUGCUUAACACAUGCAAGUCGAACGCGAAAGGGACUUCGGUCCUGAGUAAAGUGGCGCACGGGUGAGUAAUGCGUAGAUAACCUGUCUUCAUGUCUGGAAUAAUACGCCGAAAGGGGUACUAAUACCGGAUAUUCUUGCUUUUCAUAAGUUAUGCAAGCAAAGGUGGCCUCUGCAUAUGCUACUGCAUGAAGAGGGGUCUGCGUACCAUUAGCUAGUAGGUGGGGUAAUGGCCUACCUAGGCGACGAUGGUUAGCGGGUCUGAGAGGAUGAUCCGCCACACUGGCACUGGAACACGGGCCAGACUCCUACGGGAGGCAGCAGUGAGGAAUAUUGCGCAAUGGGGGAAACCCUGACGCAGCGACGCCGCGUGAGUGAAGGAAGGCCUUCGGGUCGUAAAGCUCUGUCAAGAGGAAAGAAGUGUACAAUGGCUAAUACCUGUUGUAUUUGACGGUACCUCUAAAGGAAGCACCGGCUAACUCCGUGCCAGCCGCAGC
Molecule: ribosomal RNA, 509 nt
Filed under: uncultured bacterium
Lineage: Bacteria
Description: bacterial SSU rRNA
Rfam family: Bacterial small subunit ribosomal RNA
Source: RNAcentral